Molecule: ribosomal RNA, 200 nt
Filed under: uncultured bacterium
Lineage: Bacteria
Description: partial 16S ribosomal RNA
Rfam family: Bacterial small subunit ribosomal RNA
Source: RNAcentral
AACGAACGCUGGCGGCAGGCUUAACACAUGCAAGUCGAGCGCCCCGCAAGGGGAGCGGCAGACGGGUGAGUAACGCGUGGGAAUCUACCCAUCCCUACGGAACAACUCCGGGAAACUGGAGCUAAUACCGUAUACGCCCUUCGGGGGAAAGAUUUAUCGGGGAUGGAUGAGCCCGCGUUGGAUUGGCUAGUUGGGUGGGG